GAGCCGCCGAAGGCAGGUUUGAUAACUGGGGUGAAGUCGUAACAAGGUAGCCGUAUCGGAAGGUGCGGCUGGAUCACCUCCUUUCUAAGGAA
This 92-nucleotide ribosomal RNA is filed under the name Eubacterium sp. AM46-8. Its description in RNAcentral is "partial 16S ribosomal RNA". It matches the Rfam family "Bacterial small subunit ribosomal RNA", at positions 1450 to 1533 of the family's 1533-position model. RNAcentral also lists the same sequence under 1 other name. The record is from RNAcentral. Lineage: Bacteria; Bacillati; Bacillota; Clostridia; Eubacteriales; Eubacteriaceae.